This 406-nucleotide ribosomal RNA is filed under the name uncultured bacterium. Its description in RNAcentral is "partial 16S ribosomal RNA". It matches the Rfam family "Bacterial small subunit ribosomal RNA", at positions 29 to 526 of the family's 1533-position model. The record is from RNAcentral.
AUUGAACGCUGGCGGCAGGCCUAACACAUGCAAGUCGAGCGAGCGGCGGACGGGUGAGUAAUGUCUGGGAAACUGCGUGAUGGAGGGGGAGAACUACUGGAAACGGUAGCUAAUAUCGCACACCAUCAGAUGUGCCCAGAUGGGAUUAGCUAGUAGGUGGGGUAACGGCUCACCUAGGCGACGCUCCCUAGCUGGUCUGAGAGGAUGACCAGCCACACUGGAACUGAGACACGGUCCAGACUCCGACGGGAGGCAGCAGUGGGGAAUAUUGCACAAUGGGCGCAAGCCUGAUGCAGCCAUGCCGCGUGUGUGAAGAAGGCCUUCGGGUUGUAAAGCACUUUCAGCGGGGAGGCGUUACCCGCAGAAGAAGCACCGGCUAACUCCGUGCCAGCAGCCGCGGUAAUUC